GAAUGACUCUCGGCAACGGAUAUCUAGGCUCUUGCAUCGAUGAAGAACGUAGCGAAAUGCGAUACUUGGUGUGAAUUGCAGAAUCCCGUGAACCAUCGAGUCUUUGAACGCAAGUUGCGCCCGAUGCCAUUCGGUUGAGGGCACGUCUGCCUGGGCGNUCACAUA
RNAcentral lists this ribosomal RNA (165 nucleotides) under Swainsona decurrens. RNAcentral describes it as "5.8S ribosomal RNA". It matches the Rfam family "5.8S ribosomal RNA". Rfam says of the family: 5.8S ribosomal RNA (5.8S rRNA) is a component of the large subunit of the eukaryotic ribosome. It is transcribed by RNA polymerase I as part of the 45S precursor that also contains 18S and 28S rRNA. Lineage: Eukaryota; Viridiplantae; Streptophyta; Magnoliopsida; Fabales; Fabaceae. The record is from RNAcentral.